GACGAACGCUGGCGGCGUGCUUAACACAUGCAAGUCGAACGGAAAGGCCCUGCUUUUGUGGGGUGCUCGAGUGGCGAACGGGUGAGUAACACGUGAGUAACCUGCCCUUGACUUUGGGAUAACUUCAGGAAACUGGGGCUAAUACCGGAUAGGAGCUCCUGCUGCAUGGUGGGGGUUGGAAAGUUUCGGCGGUUGGGGAUGGACUCGCGGUUUAUCAGCUUGUUGGUGGGGUAGUGGCUUACCAAGGCUUUGACGGGUAGCCGGCCUGAGAGGGUGACCGGCCACAUUGGGACUGAGAUACGGCCCAGACUCCUACGGGAGGCAGCAGUGGGGAAUAUUGCACAAUGGGCGGAAGCCUGAUGCAGCAACGCCGCGUGCGGGAUGACGGCCUUCGGGUUGUAAACCGCUUUCGCCUGUGAUGAAGCGUGAGUGACGGUAAUGGGUAAAGAAGCACCGGCUAACUACGUG
RNAcentral lists this ribosomal RNA (468 nucleotides) under uncultured bacterium. RNAcentral's name for it is "partial 16S ribosomal RNA". It matches the Rfam family "Bacterial small subunit ribosomal RNA", at positions 28 to 507 of the family's 1533-position model. The record is from RNAcentral.